GAUGAACGCUGGCGGCGUGCCUAAUACAUGCAAGUCGAGCGAACGGACGAGAAGCUUGCUUCUCUGAUGUUAGCGGCGGACGGGUGAGUAACACGUGGAUAACCUACCUAUAAGACUGGGAUAACUUCGGGAAACCGGAGCUAAUACCGGAUAAUAUUUUGAACCGCAUGGUUCAAAAGUGAAAGACGGUCUUGCUGUCACUUAUAGAUGGAUCCGCGCUGCAUUAGCUAGUUGGUAAGGUAACGGCUUACCAAGGCAACGAUGCAUAGCCGACCUGAGAGGGUGAUCGGCCACACUGGGACUGAGACACGGUCCAGACUCCUACGGGAGGCAGCAGUAGGGAAUCUUCCGCAAUGGGCGAAAGCCUGACGGAGCAACGCCGCGUGAGUGAUGAAGGUCUUCGGAUCGUAAAACUCUGUUAUUAGGGAAGAACAUAUGUGUAAGUAACUGUGCACAUCUUGACGGUACCUAAUCAGAAAGCCACGGCUAACUACGUGC
Molecule: ribosomal RNA, 498 nt
Filed under: uncultured bacterium
Lineage: Bacteria
Description: partial 16S ribosomal RNA
Rfam family: Bacterial small subunit ribosomal RNA
Source: RNAcentral